GAGAGGUGCGAUGUGCACAAGUUUGUAGAGCAGCUGGUAUCCUACUAGGCAUAAUCAACCAGCUGGCUAGAGACAUGGAGACUGCAGAUCCCAUUAUCAAUCACAGCCUCAAGGUUAAACAUCAACUAGCCUCUGCUGUAGUCCCACAGUCUGUGACCCUGAAAGAUCUCAAACAACACACAGAGCAGACAUUGCUGAUGGAUUAUUUCAAGCUGGUGCACAAUCUCCAAUGCCAUCCACCAGCCAUGAAGGACAGAGUGCCAAAGGUGAUGGAGAGACUUCACCAGUCUCAGCAUCUUCCAACACCAGCGACUAAAGUCCCAGAAACCUCUCCCUUGGUUUGCAGAGGGCAGCCAAGGUGGAGAGGUUUACAGCAGUGUAGUUUACAGUACAAUGCCCUCAUCUGACACAGUGGAAGGAAUUGAAGUCAACUUCACAGGACCAUAGUUUUCCGACUCAGUUCUCUCAGCUCUUCCCCAAUCUUGUACCCCUUCAUUCAGCGGCUCGGUAAUCACAUCUGCCAGUUCUUUCAGACUGAGGUGAGGGUAUACCAGAUAUCUGGGCCAGGAGACUUGAAUUCAUCAAGGGCAAUCAAGUACUCUUCCCAUCUCCAAACCUGGUGUUCUUUCUACUGGUCUAGACCACAAAAUCUAAGUUGUUUGAACCUGUUCUGUUGUGGCAUACAAUCACCUAUGUUGUA
Phascolarctos cinereus (koala) is the source of this 700-nucleotide non-coding RNA. The record is from RefSeq and is a predicted model, not a curated record. Lineage: Eukaryota; Metazoa; Chordata; Mammalia; Diprotodontia; Phascolarctidae.